Molecule: ribosomal RNA, 468 nt
Filed under: uncultured bacterium
Lineage: Bacteria
Description: partial 16S ribosomal RNA
Rfam family: Bacterial small subunit ribosomal RNA
Source: RNAcentral
GACGAACGCUGGCGGCGUGCUUAACACAUGCAAGUCGAACGGAAAGGCCCUGCUUUUGUGGGGUGCUCGAGUGGCGAACGGGUGAGUAACACGUGAGUAACCUGCCCUUGACUUUGGGAUAACUUCAGGAAACUGGGGCUAAUACCGGAUAGGAGCCCCCGUUGCAGGGUGGGGGUUGGAAAGUUUCGGCGGUUGGGGAUGGACUCGCGGCUUAUCAGCUUGUUGGUGGGGUAGUGGCUUACCAAGGCUUUGACGGGUAGCCGGCCUGAGAGGGUGACCGGCCACAUUGGGACUGAGAUACGGCCCAGACUCCUACGGGAGGCAGCAGUGGGGAAUAUUGCACAAUGGGCGGAAGCCUGAUGCAGCAACGCCGCGUGCGGGAUGACGGCCUUCGGGUUAUAAACCGCUUUCGCCUGUGACGAAGCGUGAGUGACGGUAAUGGGUAAAGAAGCACCGGCUAACUACGUG